This 55-nucleotide transfer RNA is filed under the name Coleodactylus brachystoma. RNAcentral describes it as "partial tRNA-Cys". The record is from RNAcentral. Lineage: Eukaryota; Metazoa; Chordata; Lepidosauria; Squamata; Sphaerodactylidae.
ACAAAGUGCAAAUUUGAACGCGGCACCGCAAAGAGUGCCGGGGCUUCUCCCGUUU